CCUCAUGGAGGGCCGAACCGACUCCCGUUGAAAUGGUAGCGGAUGAGGUGUGGAUAGCGGAGAAAUUCCAAUCGAACUCGGAGAUAGCUGGUUCUCCUCGAAAUAGCUUUAGGGCUAGCCUUAAUUAGAUAACUUAUGGAGGUAGAGCACUGAAUGGACUAGGGGGCUUCACCGCCUACCGAAUCUUAUCAAACUGCGAAUGCCAUAAGUAAUAGAUUAGGAGUCAGACUGUGGGGGAUAAGCUUCAUGGUCAAAAGGGAAACAGCCCAGACCGCCAGUUAAGGUCCCAAAAUAAUGAUUAAGUGGAAAACGAUGUGAAAUCGCUCAGACAACCAGGAUGUUGGCUCAGAAGCAGCCAUCAUUUAAAGAGUGCGUAAUAGCUCACUGGUCCAGGGGUUUUGCGCGGAAAAUGUAACGGGGCUCAAAUCAUUUACCGAAGCUGCGGAAUGUGUGAGAGCACAUUGGUAGAGGAGCGUUCUUAACACGGAGAAGGCAUACCGGAAGGAGUGCUGGAGAGUUAAGAAGUGAGAAUGCAGGUAUAAGUAUGCGAAAAGGCAGGUGAGAAUCCUGCCCGCCGAAAAUCUAAGGAUUCCUGGGGAAGGCUCGUCCGCCCAGGGUAAGUCGGGACCUAAGGCGAGGCCGAAAGGCGUAGUUGAUGGAAAACUGGUAGAUAUUCCAGUACCACCUGAUAUUGCAUGAGAGAAGUAGUGACGCAGAAGGAUAGGCAGAGCGCCCAGUUGGUGAGGCGUUUAAGUAAGUAGGGUAUCAGAUAGGGAAAGCCGUCUGAUGUAGAGCCUGAGAUACGAAUACGAGGGAAAAAUAGUACCGAAGUCGCUGAUUCCCGGCUGCCAAGAAAAGCUGCUAUCGAGAUAGAGGGUGCCCGUACCGCAAACCGACACAGGUAGAUGGGGUGAGAAACCUAAGGCGCGCGAGAAAACUCUUGUUAAGGAACUCGGCAAAAUGACCCCGUAACUUCGGGAGAAGGGUUGCUUAUCAUGGUGAAGGUCAGACGACUGGAGCUGAGAUAAGUCGCAGAGAAAAGGUCCAGGCGACUGUUUAGCAAAAACACAGGUCAUUGCAAAAGUGAAAGCUGAAGUAUAAUGGCUGACGCCUGCCCGGUGCUGGAAGGUUAAGGGGAAGAGUGAGAGCUUUGAACCGAAGCCCCAGUAAACGGCGGCCGUAACUAUAACGGUCCUAAGGUAGCGAAAUUCCUUGUCGGGUAAGUUCCG
Molecule: ribosomal RNA, 1229 nt
Filed under: human gut metagenome
Description: bacterial LSU rRNA
Rfam family: Bacterial large subunit ribosomal RNA
Source: RNAcentral